Zalophus californianus (California sea lion) is the source of this 1163-nucleotide long non-coding RNA. RefSeq lists it as uncharacterized. The record is from RefSeq and is a predicted model, not a curated record. Lineage: Eukaryota; Metazoa; Chordata; Mammalia; Carnivora; Otariidae. The transcript is spliced from 4 exons.
GCUCUGUUGAGCAGGGACCCAGGAGUCACAACCUCUUUGUUAAAACUGACAAAAGAGGUGGGAGAUAAACUCUAGGAGGAACGGAAUCGGGGUGAUUUAACCUGCCGAAGGGGAAGCUGGAAGGGAACAAAAUCACAGGCUUCAUACAUAUGAAGAGAUAUUAUAAUAGGGGAUGCUGAGCAGCUGUUCCGGAUUCCUCAGAGGGAAGGAAAAACUUCUGUCAUGUCCCAGCCGGGUGUGGAAAAAUACCACCAGGAGGAUUCAGUUCUCAGAGCAAGAGUUCUCAGCUGAUCACCAAAGCAGAUGAUCACCCAAAAGACAGAAACAAACCACGGGCUGUCAUCACUACAGGACAGCAAAACAACCGGCUGCACAGCUGCAGGUGCUGUAACUGAAGCUACCGCUACUGGUCAGGUUGCCACCAGAAGAGUUGCCUCAGAAAGAAGUUGAAAACCACUGAGGACCAGGGAAGAAACUGCUGAGAUGCUUUCCCUGGGACAGCCUUGCCAGGAGCCACCAUGGGUCCCACAUCGGGAGCCACAUACCCAGUGACAGGAGAUGGAGACGAAUGGACAUGAUACAACUGCAUCUGGCUAAUUUAUCCAAAAGGCAACUAAACCAACAGCAUAAUAUCAAGUACUUCAUGUGCAAAGAUGAUGCUAAGUCCUGUCAGAAACUACAAAGGUACUAAGCAAGAUCCCCGCCCUCAAAGAGUUGACUAGAUUGUUGAUGAAACAGACCUAUUAAAAAUAAAAGAUGGAAUUAAACAAUCGCAUCAGAUAGGUGUUAAGGACUGGUAUCCACUAAAAGGACUGAGGAUCUACAGGCGGGAAGACCUGAUGGGGUACUUGGAAGGUUUUGUAGCAAGCUGGAGUUUUGGCCAGAUCUUGCAGACUGGAUUGAAUCUGGGUCAGUGGAGAGGAAGAAGAAAAGCGGUGGUGUGUGGGAGCCAGCUGACACCGUCUUGUGAGGUCUGGUGGUUACCUUUAUCAGGAAUACUGUCAGCCAAUUGUUAAAUGCAGCCAUUACUAAAAAUUAAAUUACAAAAUCUUAAAAUUAAAUAAAUUACACCUUUUAGAUUAUAUUUAUAAUAUAUUACUUAAUAUGAUAAUAGAUAAUAUAGAAUUAAUAUGUAAUUGAACAUUAUCUAAAUAAACACUCAG